RNAcentral lists this ribosomal RNA (425 nucleotides) under uncultured prokaryote. Its description in RNAcentral is "bacterial SSU rRNA". It matches the Rfam family "Bacterial small subunit ribosomal RNA", at positions 355 to 796 of the family's 1533-position model. The record is from RNAcentral.
UGGGGAAUAUUGCGCAAUGGGCGAAAGCCUGACGCAGCAACGCCGCGUGGGGGAUGACGGCCUUCGGGUUGUAAACCCCUUUCAGCAGGGACGAAAAUGACGGUACCUGCAGAAGAAGCCCCGGCCAACUACGUGCCAGCAGCCGCGGUAACACGUAGGGGGCGAGCGUUGUCCGGAUUUAUUGGGCGUAAAGAGCUCGUAGGCGGUUGCGUAAGUCGGAUGUGAAAACUCAGGGCUCAACCCGGAGACGCCAUUCGAUACUGCGCUGACUAGAGUCCGGUAGAGGAGCAUGGAAUUCCUGGUGUAGCGGUGAAAUGCGCAGAUAUCAGGAGGAACACCAGCGGCGAAGGCGGUGCUCUGGGCCGGUACUGACGCUCAGGAGCGAAAGCGUGGGUAGCGAACAGGAUUAGAUACCCCCGUAGUCC